This 30-nucleotide transfer RNA is filed under the name Hippotragus equinus (roan antelope). RNAcentral's name for it is "partial tRNA-Leu". Lineage: Eukaryota; Metazoa; Chordata; Mammalia; Artiodactyla; Bovidae. The record is from RNAcentral.
GUUAAGGUGGCAGAGCCCGGUAAUUGCRUA